This is an RNA transcript of Balaenoptera ricei (Rice's whale), 2209 nucleotides long. It is a transcript of the gene named COMM domain containing 6, with no coding region annotated. The record is from RefSeq and is a predicted model, not a curated record. The transcript is spliced from 4 exons. NCBI's taxonomy places the organism in Eukaryota, Metazoa, Chordata, Mammalia, Artiodactyla, Balaenopteridae.
UUAGGACUUUUGGGUUGUGGAAUGGGGAAAGACAUAUGUGGAACAGGAAAAUGAGAUAAGAGAUGGUCCAAAAUGUUUGGAGUCCCCUUAAGUACUGGAGCAAAAUGAAAAGAAAACCAGUACUGCCACAUCUACCUCCAUAACACAUCAGCUCAUAGAUUUUCAGUGGAAGCUGGGUAUGGCUGUGAGCUCAGACAGCUGCAGGUCACUUAAGUAUCCUUAUGUUGCAGUGAUACUCAAAGUGGCAGAUCCUUCAGGCCAAGUAAAGAACAAGUCCUUCGAAAUGACAAUUCCACAGUUUCAGAAUUUCUACAGACAGUUCAAGGAAAUUGCUGCAGUUAUUGAAACUGUGUGAAAACUGAUUACUUGGUUGAUGAAUUGCUACUAUCAUUCUAAAAUCAUGGACUUUACUUUCUGCAACAAAACUGCCUAAGGAUCAAAUGAUAUUUAUUGAAUGAAAAUUACACUUUUGGUUUUCCAUUUUUUUAAACAAUAAAAAAGAAAAUCAGACAAACAGGAAUUACAAAGUGGUGAUUGCUGCACACUUUGUGAAUGUACUAAGAGCCACUGAAUUGGAAACUUUAAAGGGUGAAGAACUCUGUGCUCUCUCCCGUGUUGACUGCUGGAAACGAAGAGAUCUGAGAUAGGGAAACCAUAAGAUGGAGCCCCUGAAUCACGAUUGGAGGCAAACUCAUAGUAACAGCCUGACUUGCACCAGACAGUGAUGUGAGCUAGAAACAAACUCUUGUUUUGGUAAGCUGGUGAGAUUUUUAGAGUGUUUGUUACAACAGCAAGUGAGCAUAAACUUGAAUAACACAAGAUAUUUGUAUGAAGAUUUUUAUUGUAGCAUUUCCCCAAGUGGUGAAAAGUAAAAUAAAGGGAGCAGUGACUGUCAAUAAAGAAAUGGUUGAAUAAAUUCAUCAUAUCUAUGUUACAGCAUAUCAUAUACCUGCCAUUAUCAAUAUGUAUUAACAAUACAUUUGCUGUUAUCAACACAUAUUGUUGUUUCAUAAAACUGUAAAAUGCACUCAAUAUAUAUUUGAAUUCUUCAUGGAAAAUUAGGAAAAUUAAGGAGAGAUGUUUACCAUGCUGUAAGCAUUGAUGGAGAGGGUAUCUGGAGAGGGAGAGGAAGAGCAGUUAAAAAAAUUUUUUUUAAUCCAUAAUGCAUUAUAAAAAAAUAUGUAUCAUUGUUUUUAAGAAAUAAUUGAUAAAAAUGUUUGCUUUUUAAUUAUGCUUCUGAAAAGUUCUUACAGUUCUUUUUGUGGUACAAUGUAUCCUUAUUUUAACAAAUGGUAUAGUGUGUCUCCAAAUCAGAAUAGACAAACCUGAAAUACAUCAAACGUAGGCCCCCUCGCUGUGCUAUAGAAAUCACGACCGCAGCUGGGUCUGAUAUUUUGGCUGGUAUCACUGCAAGAAACUUCAUUUCUUCCGCUUACCUUUGUUUCCUCUUCUGAGCCUCCCUGUUGGGAAUUUAAGUCCUCUUCACACCCUGUCAGCAUUUCUGCAAUCUCCUACGUGAAUCCACUUUCUUGGUCCUCUGCUCAGUAGCAUACUGUUGUGAGGAGCCCGGGUCCACUGCCUACUGCUGUCUACCCAUGUACUCAGGUCCCACCAGCUUGAAGAGUCAGCCGACUGGGCAUUCAUCCUUACCAGCUGCCCAUAGACUACUCUAUUACCCACCCUCUGCAUAGUAGCACAUUAAAGAUUUAGGACUAGGAGAAGGCAAAGUCCCCUUUCUAUCCCUUUCUCAAAUCCUUUGGGGUACCAACUUCAUUGUAUCCCCAGAAAUCAAAGUAGAAACCUGCCCACCCAAUCUGGGUCAAAACCGCACACUUGCCUUCCCAGACUGUGCUUAUGGUCUUUCCAUCUCCCACUCACCCCAGUUUAACACCCUCCAUUUUCCUCCCCCUCCUCAUUUGCAGUGUUGCAGAGAGGCCCAAAGAAAGCCCUUGGCUCAAACACUGGGUGAUGGAUUUGAUUAGAAUAAAUUUAAAUUGCAUGUUUAAAUUUAUCUUUUGAAUUUGAAAGGCAAGUUUUUUUCAUAAUAUAGUUUUACACUAUUUUCACUGAGGAUGUCUAUUUUGCUUAUUAUGAGUUUAAUGAGCUUCACCUGGCUGACCUGGGCAUUAACCACUGUUUGUAACAUUUCUGUGGGAAAAUGUGUUUCAAGUUUCAAACACUUGAAUUAAAUGUAAACUUUUGGAAAAUA